AUGAUAGAAGACAAACUGGCUUGUCACUCCCUUUGGGUGGGAGAGCUUGCGUGUUCGAGUCGCGCCUAUCAUA
Molecule: transfer RNA, 73 nt
Filed under: Fuscoporia gilva
Lineage: Eukaryota; Fungi; Basidiomycota; Agaricomycetes; Hymenochaetales; Hymenochaetaceae
Also listed under: 2 other names
Description: tRNA-Pro
Source: RNAcentral